AACGAACGCUGGCGGCAUGCCUAACACAUGCAAGUCGAACGAGAAGUCCGGGCCUUGUGGCGCACGGCUGCGUAACGCGUGGGAACUUGCACUUGGGUUCGGAAUAACUCCCCGAAAGGGAUGCUCAUACCGGAUAAUGUCUUAGGACAUAAGAUUUAUCGCGUUUGGAUGGGCGCGCGUUGGAUUAGCUAGUUGGUAGGGUAAAAGCAUACUAAGGCGAGGUUGCAUAGCUGGUCUGGGAGGAUGAUCAGCCAGGCUGGGGCUGAGGCACGGCCGAGAAUCGUACGCAAGGGAGCAGAGGAGAAUAUAGUAGGAGGGAGGAAGACCUAAUCCAGCAAUGCGGGGGAAGAGAUGAAGGCCUUAGGGUAGUAAUGCUCUUUUACCCGAGAUGUUAAUGACGGUACCGGGUAAAUAAGCUCCGGCUAACUCCGUG
Molecule: ribosomal RNA, 433 nt
Filed under: uncultured bacterium
Lineage: Bacteria
Description: partial 16S ribosomal RNA
Rfam family: Bacterial small subunit ribosomal RNA
Source: RNAcentral